Diabrotica virgifera virgifera (western corn rootworm) is the source of this 489-nucleotide long non-coding RNA. RefSeq lists it as uncharacterized. The transcript is spliced from 2 exons. Lineage: Eukaryota; Metazoa; Arthropoda; Insecta; Coleoptera; Chrysomelidae. The record is from RefSeq and is a predicted model, not a curated record.
CACCAUGAAAUUGUCAGUGCUUUGUACUUUGGUGAUUUUAGGCUUCGUCUCUUCUGGACUUCUGCCUGAGGUGUCCUCAGAUGCAGGAAGUAUACCAACACCAGGACCUGUUUCUGUUUCUACUCAAAAAUCCAUAAAUACAGCUACUCCAACUUCUGUUCCAUCAAAAAGGCCAACCCGUUCAAAAUACGUUGGCAUUGAUCCCAAAGUUUUAAUUGCAGUUGAAGAGAGCUUUAUUCCUCCUUGGUUCAAUAAUCCCUUCCCCUUUCCCCAUCUACAAAGACUUUGGCGACGACGACGAGACGUGCCCAGCAAACCUCAAAAAGGAGGUAAAGGAAAACCACCAUCAUUUAAAGAUAUUGAUCAACCUGCUUGGUAGAUAGAUAUGGCCAACCUCAUGGAGGACGUGCUGUAUCACUAUCGUUCGAAAAUAUUAAUACGCAUAGUUGGUAGAUCAUUGACUUAAAAUAAAGAACAUGAUUUUAAUGA